UCUUGGUGGUAGUAGCAAAU
Molecule: non-coding RNA, 20 nt
Filed under: Arabidopsis thaliana (thale cress)
Lineage: Eukaryota; Viridiplantae; Streptophyta; Magnoliopsida; Brassicales; Brassicaceae
Also listed under: 2 other names
Source: RNAcentral